Molecule: unclassified non-coding RNA, 336 nt
Filed under: soil metagenome
Description: partial contains 5.8S ribosomal RNA, internal transcribed spacer 2, and large subunit ribosomal RNA
Rfam family: 5.8S ribosomal RNA (bases 1-120)
Source: RNAcentral
GAUGAAGAACGUAGCGAAAUGCGAUAAGUAAUGCGAAUUGCAGAAUUCAGUGAAUCAUCGAAUCUUUGAACGCACAUUGCGCCCGCCAGUAUUCUGGCGGGCAUGCCUGUUCGAGCGUCAUUUCAACCAUCAAGCCCCCGGCUUGUGUUGGGGACCUGCGGCUGCCGCAGGCCCUGAAAACCAGUGGCGGGCUCGCUGUCACACCGAGCGUAGUAGAUUUUCAUCUCGCUCAGGGCGUGCUGCGGGUUCCGGCCGUAAAAAGCCUUAUUUACCCAAGGUUGACCUCGGAUCAGGUAGGAAGACCCGCUGAACUUAAGCAUAUCAAUAAGCGGAGGA